GACGAACGCUGGCGGCGUGCCUAAUACAUGCAAGUCGAGCGCAGGAAGCCGUUCCGAACCCUUCGGGGGGACGAACGGUGGAAUGAGCGGCGGACGGGUGAGUAACACGUAAAGAACCUGCCCAUAGGUCUGGGAUAACCACGAGAAAUCGGGGCUAAUACCGGAUGUGUCAUCGGACCGCAUGGUCCGCUGAUGAAAGGCGCUCCGGCGUCGCCCAUGGAUGGCUUUGCGGUGCAUUAGCUAGUUGGUGGGGUAACGGCCCACCAAGGCGACGAUGCAGAGCCGACCUGAAAGGGUGAUCGGCCACGCUGGGACUGAGACACGGCCCAGACUCCUACGGGAGGCAGCAGUAGGGAAUCUUCCAAAAUGGACGAAAGUCUGAUGGAGCAACGCUGCGUGAACGAUGAAGGCUUUCGGGUCGUAAAGUUCUGUUGUAAGGGAAGAACAAGUGCCGCAGGCAAUGGCGGCACCUUGACGGUACCUUGCGAGAAAGCCACGGCUAACUACGUGCCAGCCGCCGCAGUAA
RNAcentral lists this ribosomal RNA (526 nucleotides) under uncultured bacterium. RNAcentral describes it as "partial 16S ribosomal RNA". It matches the Rfam family "Bacterial small subunit ribosomal RNA", at positions 28 to 523 of the family's 1533-position model. The record is from RNAcentral.